RNAcentral lists this long non-coding RNA (5138 nucleotides) under Sus scrofa (pig). RNAcentral's name for it is "lncRNA (ENSSSCG00055012089.1)". The record is from RNAcentral. Lineage: Eukaryota; Metazoa; Chordata; Mammalia; Artiodactyla; Suidae.
GUGGAUCUGUCACACCAGCUGUCAGCUCUGAGGAUGUCUUUUGCCUGGCCCGUCUUAUUUUUUUUUAAGGUUAAAUAAGACACAGUGGGAAUAUUACAGAGCAGUAAACAUGAACCCGAACCAUGUACAACACCAGGGAUGGAUCUUAGCGACACAACAGGAAGCAUCUUAGUGACACAGCAGGAAGCAAGUCAGAGAAGAUUUCUUGCAGGCUGGCUGUCAUUUCUAUAAGGCUCAGGAGUAAACACCAACCUGGGAUUGUAUGGGGUGGGGGUGGGGGUGUGUGCAUUUGUGUCCAGGAUGCCUGGGGGAGGCCCAGUGAUCUUAUUGUGAUUCUCUGGCUGGGUCCUAGUUCACCGAUACUUGUUUUGUUGUUAGACUUAAGUAGCUACAUCUAUAUUAGUGAAUCUUUGUAUCAGCUCUUCCCAUGGGAGUGAGGAAAUGACUCCAGGUGGUGGUCCCUGGAUCCUUAAGAUCUUUCCUGGCUCUAAACUGUGGUUCUCCAGCCAAGCUGUCACGAUCGAGUUUCCGUUUUAGGGAGGUCACUCUAUCAGCUGAUUAUGUGGGAAAGAAUUAGGAACCCAAGGACCCAUCCCUACUCCUUCGGGGGCCACAUCUUAAGAGCCUGCAUCAUUCAGGAGAUGAAGCAGCUUCCUUACCCCUCCUCGGUGUCUGUCAGCCCCUUGUUUCAGAGAUGGGAGUGUGUUUGAGGGGGAGAAGAAGGGUUUUGUCGUUGCUGUCAUGGGGGCUGUUUUUGUCCCUCUUCAAAGCCUCUGAACAGAAACUUUUCCUGUAUCUGGUGGUGCUUUGAGGGGCCUGGAGCACCUGGAGAGGGAGCCUGUGGUUUCCAUGGGGCUGGCUGGCUGCCUCCCCCUUUCGGGGACAUGGGGCUCCCACAGAGAUGGUGUCCUGUGGCUCAGGUGAGAAGCUCGGGGUAAGAGGCCAGGUUGGCAGUGUCAGCCUGUAAGCUCUUAUUGGGCCAUCAGCCUUCUUCGCAUCUUCACUGUGGUUUAAUUGUUUGUGCUUCAUCAAGUGACUUUCAUAUAUGUUUAUAUAUGUAAAAAAAUGUUUAGGAGUUCCCAUCGUGGCUCAUGGGUUAAGGAUCCGGUGUUGCCGUGAGCUGGGGUGUAGGUUGCAGACGUGGCUCGGAUCUGGGGUUGCUGUGUCUCUGGCAUAGGCCAGUGGCUAUAGCUCCAAUUAGACCCCUAGCCUGGGAACCGCCAUAUGCUGCGGGAGCCGCCCAAGAAAUGGCAAGAAGACAAAAACAAACAAAAAUUUUAUUUUCUAUUUAUUUUUAAUUUUUUAUUAUAGUUGAUUUACAGCGUUCUGUCAAUGUCUGCUGUACAGCAGAAUGACCGAGUUAUACAUAUAUAUGCAUUCUUUUUCUCAUAUUAGCUUCCAUCAUGUUCUAUCACAAGCGAUUGGAUUUAAUUCCCUGUGCUGUACAGCAGGACCUCAUUGCUUAUCCAUUCUAAAUGGAAUAGUUUGCAGAUCUAACCCCAAACUCCCAGUUAGUUAUUUAUUUGCUUGUUUGUUUUUGGCUGUGGCACGCAGCAGCUUGAUAGGGGAUCUCAGUUCCCAGACCAGGGAUUGAAUCCCGGCCACACCGGAGAAAGCACCAAGCCCUAACCGCAGGACCACCAGGGAACUCCCUACAUAGAUAUUUUUAAUUCCCCGUGAAACCUUUAAAAUAUUUAUUGCAAACAAUGAUUUAUGUGCAGAAUUCUCCAAGGAUUUAAAAAAAAAAUAGUCAUUUUCUGUCUUUUUGGAGAGAAGCCCUUUGUGUUUAGAGCAUUCUUUGAUCUUCCCCAGAGCCAGGCAGUCCUGGCAGCUGCUAUUCAUAGCUUGCUUGUUUCUGGAGUGUUGCUACGUUGUUAGGUGGUGAUCCACUCUUUCCCUCCGUCUCGUGGUUCUUUUUCUUUAGGGGAAGGGAUUAUGUGACUUUUAACAGGACAGGAUUAAUGCAUGCUUUUAUGUCCAGAUUUCCUCACCCAGGAAAAGCAACUCCUUCAGGUCUCCAGGAUCAGGCUUAUGUGACCAGGGAAGAGAUGGAGCUGGAAGUAAUUAGAUGCAUUUAGCCCUGGCACCAGGCUGGUAGUUGCUUCCACGGCUGCAGGAGGGACCCGCAAGGAGGCACCAGAGAUGCUAUAAAGCCCUACUCUGGGGACUAGGUAGAUGCCACAAUAGUGGUGACCAGAUCAUUUCCCUCUGAUAAUGGAGAUUUUAUCAUUUAGAGAUGGCAAGUUAAGAUACUUUUAUUGAAUGAACUUCCUGCUAAGUUUCUGAGCCCUAGUUAGGUUUAUGACAUAAUUGCUGUACAUGUUGAUACCAUCUUUUAUCGUAAUUGUUUUCCAUUGUUUUUAAUAAAGGGAUAAAAAUAAUAGGAGACAUUUUAGAAAGUGGGGUUUUUUUGGUUCUAUUAUUCCUGAUACUAAAAAUUACCCAAAAUAAGAUAUUUCACAAAAAAGGAUUUCGUUCCAAAAGUGACUAAUUUAAAUCAGUUUAUACAAUGAACUUGCUAAUGAUCCUCAGUCUAGAGGAGUGCAGUGCUUUUAUACUGUUAUCAUUUUUUUAUGAAUAGAAUUAUACAAAAAGUUCCUAUUGUGUUGUACAGUGAGUUUCUCACAACCAUUCUUUAUCAACAGAUGGCAACCAGCACAUGAAAAAUAAUUAAAAAAUAAAAUGAAAAGAAACCGAGAAUGAAUUAAAGUGCUUCUUUGCGUUCUGAUCUGCAUUUUUGGUUUAGAAUUUUUAUGGUGAAUUGCCAUAUUAUCUGUUAUAUCAGUUUACAAUGAGGCUCCUAUCAGACAUAAAACAGAUUUAUAAUACCAUUAAAAUACAAUAUCAAAGAAUGAAUAAGCAAUUCAAUAAAAUUACAAUAACACAAAGAUAAAAUGAAAGCCUUUUCAAUAACAGUUUUAUGCAAGAACAUUUUGCAGAUAAAUAUGUGUUUAUAGAUCUUUUAAAUGUACAUUUAUUAUACUGUUCCUAAUAGAGCCACAGGGGUUAAUUUUUCCUGUGUGUUGUCUUUUAUAAGUGGUUUAAAAGCUAGCUGCAAAACUCUUCAAUAGAUUGUUUUGAAUCUUUGAAUUGAUUUUGGUAAAGGGAGCUUUUAUAGUCCUGCAGCCGAAUGUUCACCCACAGACCAGUCAAUGGGGCUGGGUCCCUUUGCCAGGGAGGGCUGGGACCACCUGGGACCCGGACAGGAGAGAGAUGCAGGAGCGGGCAAAGUUUAUAAAUGAAGUUGGAUUUGCGGUUUUCCCACCCCGGAUGUUCAGGUCUGAUUUCCGGAAGGAAAGUUAAAGAAAAAAAAAUAAAAGAGAGAGAGAGUGUGUGAGAAGAGAAAAAGCCAAGGUUAAUAAGUCAGCCUGAUCGGGAGUAACAGGCCGGGGAGGGUCCUCUAGGCUCUGGCUGCUGGGUCCCUGGUCACUGGGCAGGCAGGGGAGAGGCUGCCGGUGCCCAGAGGCACGCUCAGCCCUGGGUGUCCCUUUGCUCUCCCCACACCUGGCUUGUGCUUCGGUCUUCGUUAGCAUCCUGUUUACUUCCUUUGUCUUAAUUUUAGCAGGGAGCUCCCAGGCCAUCCGUGAUCCUUGGCAUGCUCGGCCAGGAGGGUAACCCUCCGUGUUGCAGGGGAUCUGGAAAAAAGGAUCAGGAGACAUAUCAGGCGGGUCUGAAUCCCCAGCGGGACCUGGGGAACGGGGUGAAGCACGAGUUCCCCAGCUCUUGGGGUCUCUCCAUCCGCAGCCUCUACCCUUAAGGAUCCCAUCUUCCGGCGGGGCUGCCGUGGGUCACGCCCAGGCCCUGGUAUGGUCGGGCUGGAGCAGCUGCCCUAGGCGGGAGAGCUGGGGUUUCUGCCUCACCCUGGGCAGCUGGCCUGCUUGGGCUCCGGCUGGGGCCAGGGGGAUGCCCGGGGAGGUAGAAGGGAAGCCGAUAUAAAAGAAAAGAAAAGAAAAGGAAAGAUAACACAGAUUGGAUUUUGUCGAUGGGUGAAACAAAACCCUGAGAAGAGAAUUUUGACCAGAGAGAAAAGUCCCCGAGACUAAAUUUAAACUCCUGUGGUCCUUUCUUUGUUGUAAUUCCUCUGCAAAACACUGGCAUCGCCUUCUUCCAGAAUGAUAGAAGGUGCCAGGCCCUUAUAGAUUGCUUAAUAUACUGUAGGUGAUAUUGGUUGCGGUGGAAAAUGAAAGCAAGCAGAGAAUAUUUGGCUGGAGCAUAUGUGACUCAAAUAAUUGAGAAAUAAAACGGGAAAACGACCAGAAAGACUCUUCAGUGACACAGCUUACAGUAUCUGAGCUUGGGGGAGGGCGGGGGGGGGGACCUCUCUCGUGCUCUCUCUCCCCUUCCCCCCCUUUUCCACAUGGAGGGAAAAAGCAGACCCUUUGCCCUUUCCUCUCCCCUCCCCCCCACGAACAUUUAGGAUUUUUGCCUUUUUACUUUCUUAUUUCCUCUUCUGUUCCAGAAAAUUUUAGUACACGACACAGCGGCGGCUGCAAAUAGCACUAUUUCCCCCAGCCCAGGCUGUUUGAUUGCACGAGGCUUGAUUGCAUCGUUAGUCCUGAAGUGCUGUGCUCACUGAAACACGCCAGCAUCUUGGACAUUAAAGUGGCAUCCUGGUGUGUGCGAGGAGAGGCCUCACACACACCACUUCAUCUUGCAAACCUGCCUUUUCCCCAGAGUCUCUGAGCAGCAUUAGGUAAACAAUUACAGGAGGUGACUUCGGAGGUGCCGUCGUCCCCUUUAAUUCAUGCAUCCACGCCUUCUAGUGUUACUGCUGCAGGAAGCAUAAUGGAGUUCUCACAAACAGGCAUUUGGAGAUUUAGGCAGAUUUUCCCCUAGAAAAUGGGAAAGGCAUUUUAAGUAGCGGGGAACUCCUGCCUCCUCCGGAAAACACAGCUGUGCGCGGCUUCAGCCCUGAAGACUUUGAAAUCCCCUGCAUCCUGGACUUUUUGGGGCUCCAGACCUUUUCCGUGGGCAUGGAUAUUUAUUUUCUUCUCCUUACCGACCCACCCGAGGUGGAAGUCUAAUUUUAUAUCCCAGUAAUUAUUACACCUUGCCACUCUCUCCUAAGUUGCCACUUGAUUAGUGCUGAAUGGGUAAAAGUGACAAAACCCUUCUCUAUGGGAAAAAAAAAAAAAAAA